CGGCGAAGAGUGUGUAUGUAGCGUUUGAUUCAAUGCUUGCAAGGUCGCUAAUAUAAAUUAGAAAUAGUAUGGGUCCAAGGACAGAGUAGCCCUGAGGAACACCAAUAUUAACAACACUCUCCCCCAACAACACCCCAGACACCCUCACAGAUUGUAGCCUUUUCCUGAGGAGUAUGCCAUGGUCCACACAAUCAAACGCCUUACUCAAGUCGCAAAACAUAACAGUGCUGAAUUGCAUACUAUGAGAGGAUUCCAAAAUGAGGGACACCAAGUCAAGAAUGCCAAGAGUUGUGGUCCUGUUCUUUCUGAAACCAAACUGUAAUCCAGAGAAAUAGUUGUUACUUUAAAAGAAAUUUGUAAUUUGCAAAGCUAUGGCCUUUUCUACUAUUUCAGAGAUACUUGGGAGCAAUGGAGCAAGGAUGAUUAUCACAUCCAUAGAGGGUAUACAUCAAAUUUCCUGUAGAACAUGCACUGCAAGAACUUCUUUUGUACUCCCUCAAUCAGUGUUAACCAAGAUAUUGUAUUAAGAAGACCAAAUGAUAAGCCAUACUCCAAGAAUCAACCAGGCAAUCAAAAAGAUGAAAACUGACCUCAACACUGAACUCCUGAGGUGGAGCUAGGAAUAAACCCUGAAACUUUCUAGGAACUCUUGAACUUUGACAAAAUAUAGUCCUACAGGUGGGACCUUUGAUAUGACACUCAAAUCACAAAACAGUUUUACUGCUAGCCAAUGCCUUAUUCAACUCUAGACACGGAUUUUUCUGACGAGCAUCUUCGAGAGAAGAUUAAAACUAAACUGGAACUACUUACAAAUGCCCUUAUAUAUUAAAGAUGUACUAACUAAUGGAGUGAAAAACCCAAAGAAGCAUGGCUGAACAUAGAAUGUGUCGAGGAAAAGAGACAGUGGCGUCAAAAAUAACUCCUAGAUCCUUCAUCAGUUUUUUUUUCAUACAUACAUACGUUUUGUUUAUUAUUGAAAGUGUAUUUAAAAGUAACGUAAUAAUUAUUUCAAAUAAAUGACAUACACGCUCA
This is a long non-coding RNA of Anthonomus grandis grandis, 1032 nucleotides long. RefSeq lists it as uncharacterized. NCBI's taxonomy places the organism in Eukaryota, Metazoa, Arthropoda, Insecta, Coleoptera, Curculionidae. The record is from RefSeq and is a predicted model, not a curated record. The transcript has 2 exons.